RNAcentral lists this long non-coding RNA (204 nucleotides) under Mytilus galloprovincialis (Mediterranean mussel). Lineage: Eukaryota; Metazoa; Mollusca; Bivalvia; Mytilida; Mytilidae. The record is from RNAcentral.
GGCCGGAACCCCCAAUGUAUAUAAAGUUGCUUAUGAGGAGAUGCGCUUACAAAACCGGCGAAACAUAUUGUACCGGUCCAACGGACGAACGGAAAGACGGACUUCUUUAUCACUAUAACCCCCGCUUAACAAAGUGGUGUACAAUUGAGUGUCAAAGAGACAGCUCUACAUCUUAAACAAAGUGAAGGAACUGUGAUCAAUUAU